This 394-nucleotide ribosomal RNA is filed under the name uncultured bacterium. RNAcentral's name for it is "bacterial SSU rRNA". It matches the Rfam family "Bacterial small subunit ribosomal RNA", at positions 975 to 1375 of the family's 1533-position model. The record is from RNAcentral.
CUGGCCUUGACAUAGUAAGAACUUUCCAGAGAUGGAUUGGUGCCUUCGGGAACUUACAUACAGGUGCUGCAUGGCUGUCGUCAGCUCGUGUCGUGAGAUGUUGGGUUAAGUCCCGCGACGAGCGCAACCCUUGUCUCUAGUUGCUACGAAAGGGCACUCUAGAGAGACUGCCGGUGACAAACCGGAGGAAGGUGGGGAUGACGUCAAGUCCUCAUGGCCCUUAUGGGUAGGGCUUCACACGUCAUACAAUGGUGCGUACAGAGGGUUGCCAACCCGCGAGGGGGAGCUAAUCCCAGAAAACGCAUCGUAGUCCGGAUCGUAGUCUGCAACUCGACUACGUGAAGCUGGAAUCGCUAGUAAUCGCGGAUCAGCAUGCCGCGGUGAAUACGUUCCC